CGAUCUUCGCUGGUUAUCGAACACAGAUGACUCGCGAGUCAGACGCACCGUCCAUGGUGCCUAUAACCAUCGCUUUACGGUCUCGAGACUCAAUCUGGGUAUAGAUUAAGCGUCGCUUGAAAAGCGGCCGGCUUCAACGUAAAUUUCCGGUACGAUAGGCAGCAAGGAUUCAGAGUGGCAGACAUGCAAAUCGACGCGGCAGCUGACUCCUCUGCUGCUCUAGCGACUGCGUCGAAUACAAUCCUACCAUCCAACCAGCAACCCGUUCGCCCUCAGGAACCAGCUCCUGCGAGCGCCCCCAAAAAUUCUUUGCGGAUAUCGACGACGAGACCCAAUUAUGAGUACACUAGACUUAGCAGUAGCUCAAGUCAACCUGCACCAUGCUUUGGUCGCUUCUGCGGGCAAUGCUACCAGGGUUGCCACGGAGGACCGGGAAAUUCUACUAAUACAGGAGCCGUGGACCUACAGAAGCCAAGUUAGGGGCCUCAAUCACAACAGUAAUAAGUAAUUUGGAACAUCUCCUGUGAGAGGCCCAGAGCGUGUGUAGCGCUGAAUAAAAAAAUUUUAUUAUUUCUGCAGUACCGAGAUUCUUACACAGGACGCCACCAGAUACUGACAGUAAUGGUAGUCUUGGCCGCAGCCUAGUUUUCGGGGGACAACGCCAACGUGCCAUCCCUUGCAGUACAGCAGCUAAAAGAAUUUGGGGGCAGGAGACGACUCCCUGAUAUGGAGUGGGGCAGCUCGGACACAAACCGUAGUGGAAUCGGCCUCGGCGGAUUCUUUGCCCUACAACCGAUUAAUCGGCAUCGGCAUGGGCCAAAAAUUGGGAAUCGGUCGGACUCUACAUGAUAUGUUCUUUUUAACUUUCCCUGUCACAAAUCCGCAACUGUAUGAGCUAUCUUCGCACUUUCGUCGUGUACCUAUGCGUUAAAGUGGUAUUUAAUAAUUUAACUACUUUUGAAUAUAGUGGGUAGCCCAGAAGUAUCACACCAGAACGACCUAGAUUCAUAUCUGGCCAAGGACUGUCACUCCAGCAUUGUGCCCCAAAAACUCUUUGGGGAAUUGUUAUGCUGUUACAACAACCAAAUGAAAUAAAUCGCCUUAUUAUUGUAAUCACAA
Rhagoletis pomonella (apple maggot) is the source of this 1119-nucleotide long non-coding RNA. RefSeq lists it as uncharacterized. The transcript has 3 exons. NCBI's taxonomy places the organism in Eukaryota, Metazoa, Arthropoda, Insecta, Diptera, Tephritidae. The record is from RefSeq and is a predicted model, not a curated record.